Molecule: long non-coding RNA, 1895 nt
Organism: Symphalangus syndactylus (siamang)
Lineage: Eukaryota; Metazoa; Chordata; Mammalia; Primates; Hylobatidae
Source: RefSeq, a predicted model, not a curated record
AACUGCCCAACACCUCUGGCUUGGGGUGGCGGGGCGCAGCCACCCGGUCGACGCCUUCAGGCGAGAGGCCGAAGAUUCCCUGGUUGGAGUCCCGUUUCCUGGUGCCGGGGACUCCAGGCAUCUGAGGGCUCUGUCUCCCCAGCGGCCUCAGGACAGAGCAAGGCCCCCAGCAGGUGCCUCGAGACUGCCACACACCUGCCAGAUGCAUUCAGAGGAGCCCGUGAGCCCUGAGCCUGGGCUCCUGAGGAGGAGGAUCCAAGGCUGGGAAACCAGGGCCCUUCCCUAACCCCUGGCCAGCCAUACCUGUGUUGGCCCUGACAGAAGCUGGGUAGCUGACUGCCCGGCCCCGCUCCGCUGUGACAGUCACCACAUAUUCUACGCCUGGCAUCAGGCUCAGAGAAGACCCAGAAUGUGACAGACGCCCAUACCGAGAGCAGAAUGGAUGAGCUAAGAACAUGGCCAAGCCUGGCACAGGCCAACUUGGCACCACCACCCCGGCUCUGAGUGAGGGAGAAAGUCUAGGGCUUCGACUGGAAAGCGGCGCCCUUGACAACACCAACGAUCGGUUUGUAUUUAUUUACUCAGAGCAGGAGACAACUGCUGCCCUAAAAGCUCCUCUUAUCUCAAGUGUUUAUUUUAAUUCUUUCCCUGAAGUUUCUUAAGAAACUUCCUUUUCAAAGUCCCACCCUUUCAAGAUUAGAGCUAUGUAAAUAAUAUAUACAGAGAAGAAGAGAGUGGGAGAAACACUUUAAAAUGUUAGCCUUGCUUGUUUUAGUGAGGAGCAGCCAGAAAUUGUUUUUCUUUUCUCUAGUUGCCAAAUUCGUGUCUCGUGAUUAAAGUAUUUUUAUAACAACAACAAAAAAAGAUGUUUAAACGGAAGAAAAAAUUCAAGCUAUCUUGAUUGCGCCACAAAGUUGGGAUUUCUGCUUCUGCUUUGGCUGGAGAGUGAGGAGAGGCAGAACAUGGUAAGGGGCUGGCCUGAGGAGCAUAAUGACAAGACAAAGCAAAGUGGCGUGAGGAUGACAGUUCCUUUGAGCUGUCCCCUUCUGUCCUAGUGCCUUCCGAGGCUUUAGGCCCAGGGAGUUGUUUAUUUUUACAGAGUCCUGGCUAAGCUGAUGAAGAUGAGGGUGACAUGGCCCACACCCCAUAUGGCAUUUGUGGGAUGAUGCAGGAAAACAUGAGUUGGAUGGUAGAAAUGUCAGAAGAUUUGGAGCUGGGGAAACGACCAUAUCUUAAAAGCCCAGUCUGCACAAAGGGAGGCCCCAAAUGAGUGACCACAAGGCUUUGUCCUUAGGGUGUUCCCUCUAAUAUUUUAAGAGCAAGUUGGAUGGCCGGGAGUAGUGGCUCAUGCCUGUAAUCCCAGCACUUUGGGAGGCUGAGGUGGGCAGAUCACUUGAGCCCAGGAGUUCAGGACCAGCCUGGGUAUGCAACAUGGAGAAACCCCGUCUCUACUAAAAAUACAAACAUUAGCAGGCUAAGGUGGUGCACACCUGUAGUCCCAGCUACUUGGGAGGCUGAGGUAAGAGGAUGACCUAAGCCUGGGAUGCAGAGGUUGCAGUGAGCUGAGAUGGCACCACUGCACUCGAGCCUGGGCCACAGAGCAAGACUCUCUGUCUCAAAAAAAAAAAAAAAAAAAAAAGAGCAAGUUGGAGAGAGACAGAGAAAAAACUGGUUUGCAUGUGCUGAUGACAAGGAGGUGGGAGAUGAAGUUCACAGACUCAAAAUUAUUGCAACAGCCUAGACAGCUUGGCCCAAACCAAAAAAGAUAACAUUGAACAGGGCCAAAUGCAAAGGCCUAUAUUUAGGUGAAAAAAAAAAGUGUAUAUAAUUGAAUGUUGUCUUCUUUCCUUCCAUCUUUUUUCCCUGCUAAUCUGUAUUUUCUAAGUUUUCUGCAC